This 245-nucleotide unclassified non-coding RNA is filed under the name Glomus sp. Its description in RNAcentral is "partial contains 5.8S ribosomal RNA and internal transcribed spacer 2". The stretch from base 1 to 65 matches the Rfam family "5.8S ribosomal RNA", at positions 84 to 154 of the family's 154-position model. The record is from RNAcentral. Lineage: Eukaryota; Fungi; Glomeromycota; Glomeromycetes; Glomerales; Glomeraceae.
GUGAAUCAUCGAAUCUUUGAACGCAAAUUGCACUCUCUUCUGAGAGUAUGCCUGUUUGAGGUUCAGCCUAAAAUAAAUCCACGAAUUCGCUUUUUCGCGUUGACAUUCGUCGGAAAUUGGGUCAUCUUAAACUUUUGGGUUUUUUAAGCGUCUUAAAAUUUUCUUUACAAUUCCACGAACGCUUCUAAUAUUUUACUUCUUACACACUUUUAAGGUAUCCAUCUUGAUUAGACGUGGCCGUGUCA